ACGCUCGACACCUACGGGAGGCAGCAGUAGGGAAUCUUCCACAAUGGGCGCAAGCCUGAUGGAGCAACACCGCGUGAGUGAAGAAGGGUUUCGGCUCGUAAAGCUCUGUUGUUGGAGAAGAACGUGCGUGAGAGUAACUGUUCACGCAGUGACGGUAUCCAACCAGAAAGUCACAGCUAACUACGUGCCAGAAGCCGCGGUAAUCUGAGCGGGCUGGCAAGGC
Molecule: ribosomal RNA, 223 nt
Filed under: uncultured bacterium
Lineage: Bacteria
Description: partial 16S ribosomal RNA
Rfam family: Bacterial small subunit ribosomal RNA
Source: RNAcentral